RNAcentral lists this transfer RNA (73 nucleotides) under Anaerolineales bacterium. RNAcentral describes it as "tRNA-Thr". It matches the Rfam family "tRNA". From Rfam's summary of the family: Transfer RNA (tRNA) molecules are approximately 80 nucleotides in length. Their secondary structure includes four short double-helical elements and three loops (D, anti-codon, and T loops). Lineage: Bacteria; Bacillati; Chloroflexota; Anaerolineae; Anaerolineales. The record is from RNAcentral.
GCCACCGUAGCUCAGUUGGUAGAGCAAACGAUUCGUAAUCGUUAGGUCGAGGGUUCGAAUCCCUCCGGUGGCU